AUUUGCGAUGAAGACUUCAUCAAAUUCAAGCUCAACAGACCGGAAUGCAGGUUUCUCUAUUUUGAGAAUUUUGCGUGUCGAUUAUAUCAUCAACUGAGCAAUU
Small nucleolar RNA from Impatiens glandulifera, 103 nucleotides. RefSeq annotates it as small nucleolar RNA Z107/R87. The record is from RefSeq and is a predicted model, not a curated record. The transcript has a single exon. Lineage: Eukaryota; Viridiplantae; Streptophyta; Magnoliopsida; Ericales; Balsaminaceae.